GACGAACGCUGGCGGCGUGCCUAAUACAUGCAAGUUGAGCGAUGAAGAUUGGUGCUUGCACCAAUUUGAAGAGCAGCGAACGGGUGAGUAACGCGUGGGGAAUCUGCCUUUGAGCGGGGGACAACAUUUGGAAACGAAUGCUAAUACCGCAUAACAACUUUAAACAUAAGUUUUAAGUUUGAAAGAUGCAAUUGCAUCACUCAAAGAUGAUCCCGCGUUGUAUUAGUUAGUUGGUGAGGUAAAGGCUCACCAAGGCGAUGAUACAUAGCCGACCUGAGAGGGUAAUCGGCCACAUUGGGACUGAGACACGGCCCCAACUCCUACGGGAGGCAGCAGUAGGGAAUCUUCGGCAAUGGACGAAAGUCUGACCGAGCAACGCCGCGUGAGUGAAGAAGGUUUUCGGAUCGUAAAACUCUGUUGGUAGAGAAGAACGUUGGUGAGAGUGGAAAGCUCAUCAAGUGACGGUAACUACCCAGAAAGGGACGGCUAACUACGUG
This 497-nucleotide ribosomal RNA is filed under the name uncultured bacterium. RNAcentral's name for it is "partial 16S ribosomal RNA". It matches the Rfam family "Bacterial small subunit ribosomal RNA", at positions 28 to 507 of the family's 1533-position model. The record is from RNAcentral.